This 468-nucleotide ribosomal RNA is filed under the name uncultured bacterium. RNAcentral describes it as "partial 16S ribosomal RNA". It matches the Rfam family "Bacterial small subunit ribosomal RNA", at positions 28 to 507 of the family's 1533-position model. The record is from RNAcentral.
GACGAACGCUGGCGGCGUGCUUAACACAUGCAAGUCGAACGGAAAGGCGCUGCGUUUGUGGGGUGCUCGAGUGGCGAACAGGUGAGUAACACGUGAGUAACCUGCCCUUGACUUUGGGGUAAGCUCAUGACACUGAGGAUAAUACUGGAGAAGAGCUGCUGCUGCAUGGUGAGGUGUGCAGAGAUUGAGCGGUUGGGGAUGGACUCUAGGUUGAUCAGCUUGUUGGUGGGGUAGUGGCCUAGCAAGGCUGGGACGGGUAGCCGGCCUGAGAGGGGGAACGGCCAACAUGGGACUGAGAUACGGCCCAGAAUCCUACGGGAGGCAGCAGUGGGGAAUAGUGCACAAUGGGCGGAAGCGUGAUACAGAAAAGCUGCGUGUGGGAUGACGGCCUUCGGGUUGUAAACCGCGUUUGCCUGUGACGAAGCGUAAGUGACGGUAAUGGGUAAAGAAGCAACGGCUAACUACGUG